AAUAAUAGCAUAUUUAAUAUAAAUAUUCCAAAAUUCAUCAAUAGUUCUUAGAGAAUAUCUUUUAUUAUAUAGAUUAAUAAUGGAUUAAAGCUAUUUUCUUGGUUCAAGGCAUUCUCUCGGGUAGUCAAGGCAAGACAAAAAAAACACGUGUUGUUAACCGUUUUGCUACUAUUGGUUUAUUGCUACAAAAUUUGCACUCUCCAAGCAAACAUCAAGAUCAUGAAAAUAAGAUAUCAAAAUGUAAACACAAAGCUUUUGAAUAAGCUUUAUCUUCCUUUACCCUCUCUUGUUAUUGAAUUGAAAAGAAAGCCAACAAAUAAGUGAUUAAUAACACUUUCUUGCUUAGAUUGAAAGGAAGAAAAAAAGAAGGUAUUAGGAGCACUUUCGAAGGUAGUAUCCAUUUUGUUUUAUAGCCACCAAGGCAUUAUUAUUAUGAAUCUAAAUAGAUUUUUUAUUUAUUUAUUAUAAAUGAAUGUAUAUAAACAUGUUAAGUGUUAUCUUGAAAUAUUGUUAUUUUUAUGUAAAAUCUUGGUUGAGUAUUAUAAGAGUUUAAUAUAGAUAUAAUUAAGUGAAUUGGUUAGUAUUUUAUAGGAUAUUCCAAAUAUAAUAUUGAAAGAUUAAACAGAAAGGGCAGUUCAUUUUACAUUUAAAACUAAGUGAAAAGAAAAGGCUCACUUCAAAAAAACAAAUAUAGAUUAAAACUAUAUUAAU
RNAcentral lists this long non-coding RNA (711 nucleotides) under Vigna radiata. Its description in RNAcentral is "long non-coding RNA (VRAD_LNC007461)". Lineage: Eukaryota; Viridiplantae; Streptophyta; Magnoliopsida; Fabales; Fabaceae. The record is from RNAcentral.